CGGCCUGAUUAGAUCUCUCUCUCUCUCUCUCUCUGAUGUGUACGUUUGAAAAUUAGGGUCCCUUCCCCCUAUCGUGUAUCCGUUAGGCCACCGAAGCCACUAAAUGAGUUUAUCUAAUUAAAAGAAACAGUUUAAAGAAAUUUCGGAUACAUAUAAAACUGAUUAAUAUGCAUGUGAAUGUCAAUUGUCCUGUGACUAUACCAUGUAUACAUGAUACGUUU
Molecule: long non-coding RNA, 221 nt
Filed under: Mytilus galloprovincialis (Mediterranean mussel)
Lineage: Eukaryota; Metazoa; Mollusca; Bivalvia; Mytilida; Mytilidae
Source: RNAcentral